UAUGUACAUAAGUGGGACAUUUUGUGUUCGUUUUAGUAAAGCUGAUGACAUCGAAUUAAAUUAUUUCAAUUGCAGUGAUUGCUAACAGUUACAAAUAAUUAAAUUUAAUAUGUCAACUUGUAUUCAUUUGAGCGAUUUAGAGCAAGCAAGAAUAUUGGCACUCCGAGAAAUGGGGAUGCCAAUACGCAAAAUUGCUAAAGAAUGUCAGAGGAGUAAGCGGACGGUGGAAAACCUUUUAAAGGACCCAGAAAAUCAUGGUAGAAAACCUCGUUCUGGGCGUCUCACAGUGGGCCCAAUGAGACAUUUGGCGGAAUAAAAGUCCAAAAAAAUUGUUCAAUA
Molecule: long non-coding RNA, 339 nt
Organism: Drosophila ficusphila
Lineage: Eukaryota; Metazoa; Arthropoda; Insecta; Diptera; Drosophilidae
Exons: 2
Source: RefSeq, a predicted model, not a curated record